This 443-nucleotide ribosomal RNA is filed under the name uncultured bacterium. RNAcentral's name for it is "partial 16S ribosomal RNA". It matches the Rfam family "Bacterial small subunit ribosomal RNA", at positions 338 to 795 of the family's 1533-position model. The record is from RNAcentral.
CCUACGGGAGGCAGCAGUGAGGAAUAUUGGUCAAUGGACGAAACUCUGACCCAGCAACGCCGCGUGAAUGAUGAAGGUCUUCGGAUUGUAAAGUUCUUUUCUAAGGGAAGAAGAAUGUGACGGUACCUUAUUACUAAGCCUCCGCUAACUACGUGCCAGCAGCCGCUGUAAUACGUAGGAGGCGAGCGUUCUCCGGAUUGACUGGGAGUAAAGGGUGCGUAGGUGGGUUGGCAAGUUAGUGGGGUAACUCCAAGGCUCAACCUUGGAAUUACUAUUAAAACUGGUUGACUUGAGUGCAGUAGAGGCAGCCGGAAUUCCUUGUGUAGCGGUGAAAUGCGUAGAUAUCAGGAAGAACACCAGUGGCGAAGGCAGCUUACUGGACUGUAACUGACGUUGAGGCUCGAAAGCGUGGGGAGCAAACAGGAUUAGAUACCCGUGUAGUC